Oncorhynchus tshawytscha (Chinook salmon) is the source of this 414-nucleotide long non-coding RNA. The record is from Ensembl. NCBI's taxonomy places the organism in Eukaryota, Metazoa, Chordata, Actinopteri, Salmoniformes, Salmonidae.
GGGAGGACUGACUGGCCCCGGAUAGGGAGUGAGGGGUGAGGAGGUUAGGGGGAGGUCUGACUGGUCUGUGAUAGGGAGUGAGGGGUGAGGAGGUUAGGGGGAGGUCUGACUGGUCUGUGAUAGGGAGUGAGGGGUGAGGAGGUUAGGGGGAGGUGUGACUGGUCUGUGAUAGGGAGUGAGGGGUGAGGAGGUUAGGGGGAGGUCUGACUGGUCUAAGAUACGGAGGAGUUUCAUUAAAUGUUUUAUUCAACCUUUAUUUCACUAGUUAAGUCAGUUAACAGCUAAUUCUUAUUUACAAUGACGGGCUACACCGGUCAGACCCGGACAAUGCUUGGCCAAUUGUGUGCCGCCCUACGGGACUCCCGAUCACAGCUGGUUGGAUUCGAACCAGGGUGUCUGUAGGGUCGCCUCCAG